Molecule: long non-coding RNA, 1684 nt
Organism: Oncorhynchus tshawytscha (Chinook salmon)
Lineage: Eukaryota; Metazoa; Chordata; Actinopteri; Salmoniformes; Salmonidae
Source: Ensembl
AUCCUCUGAUGGGACUUGGAGCACUGCCACCAUGUGGGAUGAUAAACCAUACAUCUGCAAGAAGCCCAAAGUUCUACCAGAAACACCACCAACACAUGUGUCUCUGAAGGCAGGUCAGAGGCGUGUGUAUUCAGGCCUGGCAGUGGUGGUGGUAUUGGCUACCAUGUGUCUGAUGGGCCUCACAGUCUUAAUGCUCUACAAGAAGACCGGCCGUCCCCUGCCCUCCUUCACCAACCCCCUGGUCUUCAGUGCAGGUCGGAGUACCUUUGACAACCCCCUCUACACGGAGCCCAUCACCGAGGUUGACCCCAGCAUGGUGGACACUAGCCAGCUGGUUAACCAUAUGGAGGCUCAGCCAGUGAUCACUUUGUGAUUGGAGAGAGAUCGAAGGGGGAGGAAGGUUAAAGAUCCAACUUAGGUUAGGCAAAGUCAUAUUUACAUGCACAAGCUUUUGAAAAUAAUCAACAAAUUCAUUGGACCAGCGCCAUUGCUAACUAGUUUCGCUGAUGUUUCGAAUUUUUCCCCAUUUAUGCAAAGACUUCUGGGAUAUUAGAAUCCUCAUGUCUUGACCUUCACAUAUUGCACCUAGGAAUCAGGGGAUGUGCGGUGAGGUCUGAGGCCGGUUACGCACUUUCUAUUGGACCAGCUGCAGUAACCCUCUCGCAUUGGGGACAGUGUGUGUCAGGUCAUGCUGGAACAAGAAGCUGAGAAGCUGUCUAGGUGAUUUGUCUCUAUUGGUGAAAUGUACAAUCCCACAAGAUCAUCCUUAAAGGGAUGCGUCGGGAUUUUGGCAAUGAUUGAUACCAUUUUUUUGUCUCUAUGUCCAGUAUGAAGGAAGUUAGCGGUAGUUUCGCGAGCCAAUGCUAACUAGAAUUAGCGAAAUGACAGUAAGUCUAUGUUUAUCUGCUAUCUGGAAGGAUUGGUCAUUGCAUUAAUGCAUGCUAGCAGAUACCCAUAGACUUCCAGUCUUUUAGUUUAGUUUAUUAAUUUGACCAUUUUAAAAAACAAGCACAUAUAAAACUUGAAAAAGCCAUAAAUGCAUGAAUAAAAUCAUGUAGGAUAACACACAAUAAAGUCUGGGACUUAUUUCCAUCGAUGGAUAGACAAGAUCGAACACAGGCAGUGAUAAAACAAAACCAGAGAAGAAGAACAUCUAUCUCAUCAUUGGAAGGUGGUCAAACCUGGCUGUCAUCUGAACAUUGAGAUUGUCCAGUAUGUUGUAGUAUAUUCUUCCCGUUUCUACAGUAAGAUCAGCUGUUUACUACGAGUUGAACAUUCUGCCGGGCCCAGUUCAAUGCACUUCUGUUUGAAACUGUUAGACUCUAUUAAAAUGUAACAUGUUUCAAGUUAAACUGUAGUUUGUUUGUAUCCUGUUUAGUGAAUGAUUACCGAGAGUAUUAAUGGAGUUUAGGUCAUGAAACUGUGUGUUUGCUAGUAUAAAAACCAUGACCUAAUCAUAUACGAGGAAAUGGCCUAGGAUCAGAGAGCAGGGUCAAGCCCAGGACGGAGGAAUGACGGGUUGUGAUUCUGACAUCUAGCUAAACAAAGAGAGGACCAUGGACAUUCUACAGGGGAAUGGAGGGAAACUCAUUGGGGUCAUAAAAUGCUGGUGAGGUGACACCUACAAGAGGGUGGUGACCAAAAGGAGGGAAGAGUAUAUGAUGUGUUGUGAGCUUUCUAAAUG